This is a long non-coding RNA of Haplochromis burtoni (Burton's mouthbrooder), 3489 nucleotides long. RefSeq annotates it as transposable element Tcb2 transposase. The record is from RefSeq and is a predicted model, not a curated record. The transcript is spliced from 4 exons. NCBI's taxonomy places the organism in Eukaryota, Metazoa, Chordata, Actinopteri, Cichliformes, Cichlidae.
UAUCUAGCUAAAAAUGAAUCAUAAAUAAAGUUGAUUUAUACUGAACUUUUUUUUUUUUUUCUUUAGGAUGACAGAAAGUGCAUUUAGACCAAUGAAUUCCAACCAAGGGUACAAAUAUACCAGGGGGUAAUUUACAGGAUCAAUCAGUAGCUUUUACGCUGAUCAGAAUACUAGGUUACUGUCAGUGUAAUUGCUCAGCAGUAGUCCCGGCACAGUUAAAACCGCUAAAAGUAAUUCUGUUAAAUACUAUUAAACAAGUAAUGGAUUCAAUUUUAAAUUACUUUAACCCAGUGCAUUUCUGCAGAGAGAUGAUGAAAGAGUACCUGAGUUCAUCUGACAGGCCUGUGGGGCCACAUCUGUUUGAAAAAAGGAUAGGAUGGUUGAGAACAUAAGGAAAUAAAGCUUCGAAAAAUCAAAGUCAUGCUGUGGGCUGUCUUUGUGAUCAAUUUAGUGUAAUAAUUAAUUCUUCAAUUCUAUCUGCAGGUAGGUUGAUAAUGGCUAAAAGUAUACUUGAUUCCCCAAAUACCAUAAAACAAAAUGAAUAUUCUUUUAGGCUUCUGUCUUUGGAUAAGUUGAUGCAUAAAACUUGUUGGAAAAACAUUUUUCUUAAUAAAUUUAACUCUAUGGAUAUGGAAGGAACCCAGAGGAAGAGAUGUUAUUUACUCGCUUGAGAAUAGGACACAGGUUUAAACUGCACUGCACUGAAGAGGGAAACACCCAGCAGGUCCACCAUCCACUAGGUAGGUGGCGGUAAUGCACUUGUAAGUGUGGUUUGCCAACCACCAUUGACCUCCAACGAAGAAGAAGCUAGAGCAGGGGCAGUUCAAACUGAGGUGAGGUGGUCUGCAGUAAACCGGACUAACCGACAGAAGGCCCUGAGGCGUCGUUGCAGUUUUUGGUUUUCCUGCAGAUGACCCUGAUGCAGCAACACAACUAAACCAGGAUUGGAAACCUGUCCCAUCAGCUCAUCUUUGUAAAUCAACAACUCGAAGGAGCUGCCCUCAAAUUCAGACUUCAGCACGAUCCAGUGACAGCAGACAAAUCUUCCCACAUUUUAACCGUUAAUGCUGAAUACACUCAUUUAAUAUUGUAGUGAAUUUACUGUAAAUCCAAAAUUAACUGAUAAAAAAGGUCAAAAGCUGCUUCAAUGAGAAAGUUAAAGACAAAAACAAAGGAAUGAUAUAAUAAUGUAACUUGUAUCAUGAUGCACUCUAUAGCCAAACGUAUUCACUCAUCCAAAUCAUUGAAUUUGUGUGUUCCAAUCACUUCUGUGGCCACAGGAAGUGAUUGGAAAAAAAAAAAGAAUCAAGCAUCUAGGCCUGCAGACUGCUUCUACAAACAUUUGUAAGAAAUGGGUCGCUCUCAGGAGCUCAGUGAAUUCCAGCGUGGUACUGUGAUAGGAUGCCAUCUGUCCAGCAGGUCUAGUCGUGAAAUUUCCUCACUACUAAAUAUUCCACAGUCAACUGUUAGUAGUAUUAUAACAAAGUGGAAGCGAUUGGGAACAACAGCAACUCAGCCACGAAGUGGGAGGCCACGUAAAAUUACAAAACGGGGGAAGUGGAUGCUGAAGCACAUACUGCGCAGAGGUAGCCAACUUUCUGCAGAGUCAAUUGCUACAGACCUCCAAACCUCAUGUGGCGUUCAGAUCAGCUCAAGAACAGUGCGUAGAGAGCUUCAUGAAAUGGGUUUCUAUGGCUGUGCAGCUGCACCCAAGCCUUACAUCACCAACCGUAAUGCAAAGCACCGGAUGCGGUGGUGUAAAGCACACCGCCACUGGACUCUAGAGCAGUGGAAACGUGUUCUCUGGAGUGGUGAAUCAUGCUUCUCUGUCUGGCAAUGCGAUGGACAAGUCUGGGUUUGGCGGUUGCCAGGAGAACAGUACUUGUCUGACUGUAUUGUACCCAGUGUGAAGUAUGGUGGAGGAGGAGUUAUGGUGUGGGGUUGUUUUUCAGGAGUUGGGCUUGGCCCCUUACUUCCAGUGAACGAAACUCUUAAUUCUUCAGCAUACCAAGACAUUUUGGACAAUUUUAUGCUCCCAACUUUGUGGGAACAGUUUGGGGAUAGCCCAUUCCUGCUCCAACAUGACUGCACCCCAGUGCACAAAUCAAGGUCCAUAAAGACGUGGAUGAAUGAGUUUGGUGUAGAUGAACUUGACUGGCCUGCACAGAGCCCUGACCUCAACCCAAUAGAAUACCUCUGGGAUGAGUUAGAGCGGAGACUGCGAGCCAGACCUUCUCGUCCGACAUCAGUGUCUGACCUCACAAAUGCACUUCUGGAAGAAUGGUCAGAAAUUCCUAUAAACACACUCCUAAACCUUGUGGAAAGCCUUCCCAGAAGAAUUGAAGCUGUUAUAGCUGCAAAGGGUGGGCCAACUUCAUAUUAAACCCAAUGGAUUAAGAAUGGGAUGGGACUCAAGUUCAUAUGUGUGUGAAGGCAAAUAGCUUUGGCAAUAAUAGUGUAUAUAUCCUUAUCUUUGACCAUUUACACGCUGCUCUUUACAUUCAGGAGCAUAAACAGUAACUGAAUUUGGUGUAUAAGAUAGCUGUUGAUCACAGACGGCUUCUGCUUUUAACACUGACAUGUAGUCCCCUUCAUGAAAGUGAAACGAUAUCUUUCUCUGACAACAUUAAAUAAAAUCUGAUAGACGGUCAAAGGUCUUCACUUGUAUGUUGAACUAAAAACUUUAAUGUAGAACAGUGUUUUGUAUUUUUUUGUUUUAUUUGGCAUAAGGUAAUCAAGAGACAGUAAUAUACAUUUUAAUAAUAUAAGUUUCUACAGGACUGAAUAUAGCAUCAUUAUGUAGAAGUCCAGAGCUUCUGUGCUUUAUCUGGGGAUCAUGUGAAGUGUUUGUGACAUCAGGGAGGGGCAACCAACUGCUGCAACCAGUUGGGGGUCAUGGGGAAAGUGAGAGGACAGAAGAAACACUGUGGAAGAGCAUCAGAGAUUAAUAAUAACUAAUGAUUUAAUGCAGAGUGGUAUAUAAGCCCAUCAUGAUUGAAAUAGCUGAGUGAAGAAGAUAGACUCAAUGCAAGCCCCAAGCAGCCUAGGCCUAAUGUGGUGUAACUAAGGGAGGAUUCAGAGUCACCUGAUCCAGUCCUGACUAUAUACUUUGUGAAAACAGGCAGAUCUAGAGAAUUUUUUCAAGGGUGGCAUGGAAAUCAAAUGGGGUAACAAAAUCAAAGCCUUUUUUUAAACACAUAUGUAGGUGUUACAUAUGGUUAUAAAGAGGAAAAUGCAGUAAGUAUACCCAUGUUUCAUAUAAAUAUAGUCUAUAACUUCUUUAUUAAUUCAUGUAGCCCACAUAAUGAAACAUUUCAGUUACAUUAAACAUGUGAAUUUUAAUAUUAUGUAAUGUAUAGCUUGUAUAAUAAAUAAAUAUGUACCCAAUAAGUAGAACAUUUAAAAGGUGGUAACACAGUUUUUCAUGAUUUGUUGGAUUAAUAUUCUGAGGUCCAAAAUAUAAUUGGCCAUUUCUGGCUACUUUUGAUU